GACGAACGCUGGCGGCGUGCUUAACACAUGCAAGUCGAACGGAAAGGCCCUGCUUUUGUGGGGUGCUCGAGUGGCGAACGGGUGAGUAACACGAGAGUAACCUGCCCUUGACUCUGGGAUAACUUCAGGAAACUGGGGCUAAUACAGGAUAGGAGCUCCUGCUGCAUGGUGGGGGUUGGAAAGUUUCGGCGGUUGGGGAUGGACUCGCGGGUUAUCAGCGUGUUGGUGGGGUAGUGGCGUACGAAGGCUUUGACGGGUAGCCGGCCUGAGAGGGUGACCGGCCACAUUGGGACUGAGAUACGGCCCAGACGCGUACGGGAGGCAGCAGUGGGGAAUAUUGCACAAUGGGCGGAAGCCGUAUGCAGCAACGCCGCGUGCGUGAUGACGGCCUUCGGGUUGUAAACCGCUUUCGCCUGUGACGAAGCGUGAGUGACGGUAAUGGGUAAAGAAGCGCCGGCUAACUACGUG
RNAcentral lists this ribosomal RNA (468 nucleotides) under uncultured bacterium. RNAcentral describes it as "partial 16S ribosomal RNA". It matches the Rfam family "Bacterial small subunit ribosomal RNA", at positions 28 to 507 of the family's 1533-position model. The record is from RNAcentral.